CCCUUAGAUGUUCUGGGCCGCACGCGCGCUACAAUGAUGAAUUCAGCGAGUUUAUAACCUUGGUUGAAAAGCCUGGGUAAUCUUUUGAACUUUCGUCGUGAUGGGGCUAGACCCUUGCAAUUAUUGGUCUCCAACGAGGAAUUCCUAGUAAACGCAAGUCAUCAGCUUGCAUUGAUUACGUCCCUGCCCUUUGUACACACCGCCCGUCGCACCUACCGAUUGAAUGGUCCGGUGAAAUCUUCGGAUUGAGACUUUGAUUUGUUUACUCAAAACGCUGUUUCAAGAAGUUGAUUAAACCUUACCAUUUAGAGGAAGGUGAAGUCGUAACA
This 329-nucleotide ribosomal RNA is filed under the name uncultured eukaryote. RNAcentral's name for it is "partial 18S ribosomal RNA". It matches the Rfam family "Eukaryotic small subunit ribosomal RNA", at positions 1470 to 1796 of the family's 1831-position model. The record is from RNAcentral.